RNAcentral lists this transfer-messenger RNA (119 nucleotides) under Pseudomonadota bacterium. RNAcentral describes it as "Proteobacteria bacterium partial transfer-messenger RNA". It matches the Rfam family "transfer-messenger RNA", at positions 236 to 374 of the family's 374-position model. From Rfam's summary of the family: Bacterial tmRNA, also known as 10Sa RNA or SsrA, is named for its dual tRNA and mRNA-like properties. Its role is to liberate the mRNA from a stalled ribosome. To accomplish this part of the tmRNA is used as a reading frame that ends in a translation stop signal. The record is from RNAcentral. Lineage: Bacteria; Pseudomonadati; Pseudomonadota.
GGUGCGCACGAGUUUGUCGUUGGACGCUUGUGCAUCAUCCUUAAAUCAACGACUAAGCAUGUAGUCGCCUUAAUACGAACGACUUACGGACCCGGGUUCGACUCCCGGCGCCUCCACCA